RNAcentral lists this long non-coding RNA (366 nucleotides) under Solanum lycopersicum (tomato). RNAcentral's name for it is "long non-coding RNA (SLYC_LNC000576)". Lineage: Eukaryota; Viridiplantae; Streptophyta; Magnoliopsida; Solanales; Solanaceae. The record is from RNAcentral.
CACAAUUCUCUCAAAAUCCCAUUUCUUCAUCCUCUCUUCUUCAAAAUGAACUCACCAUCAACAGCAACAAGAAGAAGAAGACCAUGUUUCGUUGAAGAAGAUGAUGGUCUUGUUUCUAUAGCUGAAACUCAACCUGAGUUCUCAGGCAAUAAUAAUCAAAAUCAUAUUAAUAAUAAUAAUAAUAACAAUAACAAGAAUCAUAAUUUGAUUUAUAGACCUCUUUAUUAUUCAAGAAGAAAUAGCAUGAAGAAUCACUCUUCUUCUUCUUCUUCUUCUUCUUAUUCUUUGUUGUCUCCAAGAUCUGUUAUUUCUGCUGGAAAAUACUGUGAUGGUAGAUUUGAUGAACCCCAUCACUAUUUCUUGGAU